This is a non-coding RNA of Coturnix japonica (Japanese quail), 417 nucleotides long. NCBI's taxonomy places the organism in Eukaryota, Metazoa, Chordata, Aves, Galliformes, Phasianidae. The record is from RefSeq and is a predicted model, not a curated record.
UUGUUGUCCCCCCCCAGGCUGAGCUGUUCACGCUCCUCCCCGACUUCUCUGUGCUCCCCAUGGAGACCCCCCCCCAGGUGGGGGCUGUGGGGGGGGCAGGAGAUGAAGCCCCCCCCCCAUUGACCCCCAACGUCCAGCUCCAGCCGCCACCCCCGUAUCUGCUGAGCGCGGCCCGGAGGGCAGAGCUGCUGCGGGGUGACCCCGUACCCGCCCCCAAUGAGGACCCCGAGGAUCCCGACGACGACCUGGACGUGUGAUUGGUUAUUAUGGGGUUAUUAUAGGGCCUAUAGGAGCCUGAGAUGUUCUUAUAGGGCCCAUAGAAACCUGGGCUGUUAUUGUAGGGUCUGCAUUAACCCGGGCUGUUAUUGUGGGGCCUACACAACCAGGGGCAGCCAUUAAACUUUGCUGCUGCGAUCA